This is a long non-coding RNA of Octopus sinensis (East Asian common octopus), 877 nucleotides long. RefSeq lists it as uncharacterized. The record is from RefSeq and is a predicted model, not a curated record. The transcript is spliced from 5 exons. Lineage: Eukaryota; Metazoa; Mollusca; Cephalopoda; Octopoda; Octopodidae.
GCCCGACGUACCUCUUAACACUCUAAUUGACUUUUUGUGGUGUAGUUAUCGAGGCGUCUUGAUUUCUUCAAAAUGGAGAAAUUUUACUGGUUAUUCAAUUCCAGGAUGCCUUAAAAUUCGACUUAAUAAUGCAAUUUGGAGAGAAUGGUGCCGACAGAAUUACUACAAUAAAAAGCCGCUGGUAUGUAAAUUUAAUGACAAGUUAAAUGACAUCCAUCAUGGAAAAAAUGUUAAUCUAAAACAAUCAUCUUAGAGCAUUAUUUUUGAGCAAAACUUUCUUAAUAUGAAACCAACUCUGUUUCGCAAAGAAUAUAACAAACUGAGAAAGUAUUUCUGUGAACGAAUUAACGUUCAAAUUUCAUGUAACGAGAGCAAUCAAUUCGACGAGCAAUCACAAUUGACAGAAACUAAAACACCAACUAUCUACGAAGAUAUUAACCUACCUCUAUGUGACGAAAUUGACGGGAUACAGAAACCAAAUUAUUUUUUUCCGAGAACAUCAUUCGACGACACUGAUUUUUUUUCAAAACAACCUCAUUAUUUUGGAAAUUACAAGGCUGUCGAGUCUGACACAAAAUACAAAAACACGCCGCAAAGAGAUUUUACUAAUCUUUGGAAUCAUCCAAAUUGUUCAUCUUCAAAAAUAUCACAAAAUCAACAAGAUUUUUCGAGAAAUCAUUUUGUGCCAAACUAUAGUUACGGAAAUCAUGUCAUUGGACAACAAGAGUAUAAUUACCCUGGCUAUCCAAUGUUGUUUACUAAGGUUUCUUAUUUUAGUAAUUUUUAGCCAUCGGUUUCUUGUUUUUCAGAGGAAGAUCAACGAAAAAGGAAAAGACAUAUUAUUCAUUUAAAAUCUGAAAAACACAGACGUAAUGAA